Molecule: unclassified non-coding RNA, 346 nt
Filed under: soil metagenome
Description: partial contains 5.8S ribosomal RNA, internal transcribed spacer 2, and large subunit ribosomal RNA
Rfam family: 5.8S ribosomal RNA (bases 1-120)
Source: RNAcentral
GAUGAAGAACGCAGCGAAAUGCGAUAAGUAAUGUGAAUUGCAGAGUUCAGUGAAUCAUCGAGUCUUUGAACGCACAUUGCGCCCCCUGGUAUUCCGGGGGGCAUGCCUGUCCGAGCGUCAUUGCUGCCCUCAAGCACGGCUUGUGUGUUGGGCCCCGUCCUCCGAUCCCGGGGGACGGGCCCGAAAGGCAGCGGCGGCACCGCGUCCGGUCCUCGAGCGUAUGGGGCUUUGUCACCCGCUCUGUAGGCCCGGCCGGCGCUUGCCGAUCAACCCAAAUUUUUAUCCAGGUUGACCUCGGAUCAGGUAGGGAUACCCGCUGAACUUAAGCAUAUCAAUAAGCGGAGGA